RNAcentral lists this non-coding RNA (27 nucleotides) under Mus musculus (house mouse). The record is from RNAcentral. Lineage: Eukaryota; Metazoa; Chordata; Mammalia; Rodentia; Muridae.
UGCAAAUGGGAUAAUUACAAUGAGGUC